This 264-nucleotide ribosomal RNA is filed under the name uncultured bacterium. RNAcentral's name for it is "partial 16S ribosomal RNA". It matches the Rfam family "Bacterial small subunit ribosomal RNA", at positions 793 to 1055 of the family's 1533-position model. The record is from RNAcentral.
GUCCACGCCCUAAACGAUGGGUACUAGCCGUUGGGGGAGUCUAUCUUCCAGUGGCGUAGCUAACGCGUUAAGUACCCCGCCUGGGGAGUACGGCCGCAAGGUUAAAACUCAAAGGAAUUGACGGGGGCCCGCACAAGCGGUGGAGCAUGUGGUUUAAUUCGAUGCAACGCGAAGAACCUUACCUGCCCUUGACAUCCCCCGGAACCCUGCAGAGAUGCGGGGGUGCCUUCGGGAGCCGGGUGACAGGUGCUGCAUGGCUGUCGU